AGCCUGCCUUGUGCUUUAUAUAACUGCACCAUUUUACACCCGUGUUUAAGAAUCUUUAACUCAACAGAAAUAAUGAGUAUCCGAGUAUCCAGUGAUUUCUGUAUGCUAUGUAGGAAUUUACGUGAUGUUGUUGAGAAAACUCAGGACGUCUAGUAACCUUACAUUUCGAGUAAGUGUCAAAGUGAGGCGGCAAGAAAAGUUAUCGACUUCUUCAAUAAACGUACCUGUGCAGCUUCAUGAAGACUGAAUGAAUCAUGGAGGACACGCAAGCAUUCAGAGAUGGGGAUUUUUCUCCAAGAUGCAGUCAAUUUCAGGGGGACAGAUCAAACUUACCAGAGCCCAGCUGUGUGUCCAUGAAGAGUAACUGGUCUAUGAAAGAACCGUUAAAAUUUGAUGGAAGACACAUCACCCGAUCUGAGGUACAACAGUUUUACCAACCAAAUUACAGCACAAA
RNAcentral lists this long non-coding RNA (454 nucleotides) under Sinocyclocheilus anshuiensis. RNAcentral describes it as "lncRNA (ENSSANG00000015495.1)". Lineage: Eukaryota; Metazoa; Chordata; Actinopteri; Cypriniformes; Cyprinidae. The record is from RNAcentral.